RNAcentral lists this long non-coding RNA (1534 nucleotides) under Equus caballus (horse). RNAcentral's name for it is "lncRNA (ENSECAG00000040603.3)". Lineage: Eukaryota; Metazoa; Chordata; Mammalia; Perissodactyla; Equidae. The record is from RNAcentral.
UCAGAGACUUCGAGUUGCCGGCGUGCUGGGGUCACAGAGGAGCACUAAUCUGAUGCCUGAGAAGGACAGAGCUUCUUAUUAAGGCCGGGAAAUGAUUCCAGACACACCACCCUUCAAGUGUGGGGCCUCGACUCUGACCACUGAGGAUGCAAGUAAUUAAUUUUGAUUGAGAGCCUAUCUGUAAAAAAACCAGACAAUAUGUUGAUCAGAGGGCAGGCACAGUUUAAAAAAAAUACACCAGCAGAGUUAAAUGGGAACACGAAACCGUGACAAGCAUUCACAUUUGAAGAAGGAACUUUUCCCACAAGAACUGCAACAGAGGUUAAAAAUUUGUACCCAGAGCCCUCCCAGAAGUGAAAGACGUCAAUGUUUAGAGUAUAUAGAGCUGGCUCUUCGACACCCCUGAACCCCACUUCUCCAAACUCAGGAGCAGCGUGGUGCGACGAAGUGUGCGUGAGCUCCCUCACAGUUCCUACCCCAGCAGCACAUCACGGGCUGGGCGAGAUUCACUCCGCAUGGAUCAUUCUAGUCUUUCAAUUCACAGGGGCAAAAAAAUAAACGUAAGCGCUCCGAUGCCAUCAGUUGUUGUAAACCCAGCCCUUCCCCUGCCUGGAAAGCAGCUCCACGAACACACACGGAAGGCGAGCUGAUCUGAACCACAAAGGUGCCUGCAGAUAUCUUAGAUGACAGCACAAGUUCUCUAACCAGCAUUGUCAACAGCUUCGAGAGAAAUCGCAGAUAUCGCAUGCCUUCCCUCGCUUUUGUAUUUUUUCCCUAGUUGCUUGGCUAUGACCACUGAUGGCUUAUACAAGAAGAUACAGUGUACCAUGGAGCAAAUAGGAAUCAGGCAAAAUCUACCCCCUCCACAACAUCCAUGGGGUCUGGGUCUGGCAGAGCCCCAGGAACAGGGGUUUGUAGAUUGGAUUCACAGAGGGCAUUUAUUAUGAUUCUGAAACAAACCAGAUGAACUUGAGUGUAUCCAAAAGGGAAAUUGUCCCCGAGAGAGGCUUUACUCACAACUGUAGCCAUUGUUACCCCUCAUUAAUUGUGAGGAUGGCACCAUUUUCAAGUGUUUUCAGAUCAUCUUGGCAGGCUUGCAUCUGGAUAGGUCUGGGGAAUUUAUGCUCAACGAACAGGUUGCAUUUGGAGAUGAAAAAACUUUGACAGACGGCUCAAGUCCACACAGCACCUGCAGGAAGCAGCUAUUUUUCUCCUUGCUGACCCUGUGUUCUCACAGCAUUCCUAGGCACGCCAAGUGCUCCUGGAGGUCUCCUGUCCAUGGCCAACAGGACCACAUAUGCAGGUUUCAUUGAAUAAGUGCAAGGAGAAGCGUCAUGUGUGGUGUAACAAGGACGAAGAUAAGUGAAAAUACAGAAGCUUAAUUCCUGCCAAAAGCUUUCAGCAUCUCACAGUGUCAGGAUUAAGAAAACAGACACUGCAGCCAGAAUGCCUGUGGUUGAUCCUGCUCGUGUGACCUGGGCAAGUCACUUCACCUCAUUUGCCUCAAUUUCUCCAUCUGCAAAAUGGGCCUAAU